RNAcentral lists this ribosomal RNA (253 nucleotides) under uncultured bacterium. Its description in RNAcentral is "partial 16S ribosomal RNA". It matches the Rfam family "Bacterial small subunit ribosomal RNA", at positions 524 to 776 of the family's 1533-position model. The record is from RNAcentral.
AACGUAGGUACCGAGCGUUAUCCGGAUUUACUGGGCGUAAAGCGCGUUCAGGCGGCUUGACAAGUCGGGCAUGAAAUCUCUCGGCUCAACCGGGAGGGGCUGUCCGAUACUGUCGGGCUUGAGGGCAGUAGAGGGUGGUGGAAUUCCGGGUGUAGUGGUGAAAUGCGUAGAUAUCAGGAGGAAUACCCAUAGCGAAGGCAGCUCGCUGGGACGGUACUGACGCUGAGGCGCGAAAGCGUGGGGAGCGAACAGG